GCCAGGAGCACUGGCACGCUCCUGUAAUCCCAGUGACUUGGGAGGCUGAGGCAGGAGGGUUGCAAGUUCAAAGCCAGUCUCAU
Molecule: small RNA, 83 nt
Filed under: Marmota monax (woodchuck)
Lineage: Eukaryota; Metazoa; Chordata; Mammalia; Rodentia; Sciuridae
Source: RNAcentral